Molecule: ribosomal RNA, 473 nt
Filed under: uncultured organism
Description: partial 16S ribosomal RNA
Rfam family: Bacterial small subunit ribosomal RNA
Source: RNAcentral
ACACUCCUACGGGAGGCAGCAGUGGGGAAUUUUGGACAAUGGGCGAAAGCCUGAUCCAGCAAUGCCGCGUGAGUGAAGAAGGCCUUCGGGUUGUAAAGCUCUUUUGUCAGGGAAGAAACGGUGAGAGCUAAUAUCUUUUGCUAAUGACGGUACCUGAAGAAUAAGCACCUGCUAACUACGUGCCAGCAGCCGCGGUAAUACGUAGGGUGCAAGCGUUAAUCGGAAUUACUGGGCGUCAAGCGUGCGCAGGCGGUUUUGUAAGUCUGAUGUGAAAUCCCCGGGCUCAACCUGGGAAUUGCAUUGGAGACUGCAAGGCUAGAAUCUGGCAGAGGGGGGUAGAAUUCCACGUGUAGCAGUGAAAUGCGUAGAUAUGUGGAGGAACACCGAUGGCGAAGGCAGCCCCCUGGGUCAAGAUUGACGCUCAUGCACGAAAGCGUGGGGAGCAAACAGGAUUAGAAACCCUUGUAGUCCCA